AAUAUACUCCCUCCGUUCGGAAUUACUUGUCGCAGAAAUGGAUGUAUCUAGAUGUAUUUUAGUUCUAGAUACAUCCAUUUCCGAGACAAGUAAUUCCGAACGGAGGGAGUAUAUG
This is a non-coding RNA of Triticum aestivum (bread wheat), 115 nucleotides long. The record is from Rfam. Lineage: Eukaryota; Viridiplantae; Streptophyta; Magnoliopsida; Poales; Poaceae.